UUCCUUGUGAAUAUGCUGUGCCAGCUGAAGGAGGAGGGCAUGAUACUGAAGACACUCGGGGUGAGCUAUACCUGCCCUGUUUCCCAGCUGGAGUUCCAGCUUGUGUCGGUGCGCACAUGUACCAGCUGUGGGCGCGAGUCAUCCACCAGAGAGGACUACAACCACCUCUCAUUGGACUUCAGCCCUGAGUGCACCUUGCUGAGCAGCCUAGCACUUGCUUUUAAAGUUACCCAGGUUAUUAUUGUAGUGGUAUCAUUCAUUUUGUAAUGCUUUUGUUUCUAACCCAGGGCAAAAAGCUUGAAUUCACAUGAGAGGGCUGUAAAGGCCUCCACGCCUCAAAGGUGGAGCAGUUCCACACACUGCCUCUUGUGCUGGUUCUGCAUCUGAAGAGGUUUGGAGGACCUGGGGGGUUGGAGAAGCUGGAGGCUCCUCUUUUGUUUCCUUCGGAGCUGAGGCUCUCCACCCUCUGUGGGGACAUGAUGCCAUACUUGCACAGUGCCAGCCCACAGGCCCUCACCAACCAGGCCCCCAGCAUCCAGGUGUCCAUCCCCCAGACCCUUGCCAGCCAAGUCUCCAGCCCACCUGGAG
This is a non-coding RNA of Salmo salar (Atlantic salmon), 588 nucleotides long. NCBI's taxonomy places the organism in Eukaryota, Metazoa, Chordata, Actinopteri, Salmoniformes, Salmonidae. The record is from RefSeq and is a predicted model, not a curated record.